This is a long non-coding RNA of Neofelis nebulosa (Clouded leopard), 365 nucleotides long. RefSeq lists it as uncharacterized. The transcript is spliced from 2 exons. Lineage: Eukaryota; Metazoa; Chordata; Mammalia; Carnivora; Felidae. The record is from RefSeq and is a predicted model, not a curated record.
AGACAGCACAUGAAGUCAGAGACUGGCACAAUCACGCAGUGUAUUUGAGUAAUGGAGACGAGAAAGGGGCCAGAACCCCGAGUGAGGCUCUUUCUACUCUACCACAUUGCCUCUUUUUGCCUAGAUUUAUCAAUGGGGGCAAGUAGCUACAGAAUGCGUAAGCUGCGGAGAGGAGAGGUGCAGCACCGGGACCACAAGGGCCCUGCCAUAGCGCUGCCUGGUGACAGCGGGCGGCCACACUCGCGGUGGGCACGGCCGAGCUUGUAGAGGUGUCCAAUCACUGUGCUGUGCACCAGAACCUGAUGGAACGUUGUGUACCGACUACUCUUCAAUGAAAGCCACAAAUAAAGACGUGAUCGUUACUA